GGUAAUGGCUUACCAAGCCGGUGAUCGGUACGGGUUGUGAGAGCAAGAGCCCGGAGAUGGAACUGAGACAAGGUUCCAGGCCCUACGGGGUGCAGCAGGCGCGAAACCUCCGCAAUGUGAGAAAUCGCGACGGGGGGAUCCCAAGUGCCAUUCUUAACGGGAUGGCUUUUCAUUAGUGUAAAGAGCUUUUGGAAUAAGAGCUGGGCAAGACCGGUGCCAGCCGCCGCGGUAACACCGGCAGCUCUAGUGGUAACAAUUUUUAUUGGGCCUAAAGCGUCCGUAGCCGGUUUAAUAAGUCUCUGGUGAAAUCCUGUAGCUUAACUGUGGGAAUUGCUGGAGAUACUAUUAGACUUGAGACCGGGAGAGGUUAGAGGUACUCCCAGGGUAGAGGUGAAAUUCUGUAAUCCUGGGAGGACCGCCUGUUGCGAAGGCGUCUAACUGGAACGGUUCUGACGGUGAGGGACGAAAGUUAGGGGCGCGAACCGGAUUAGAUACCCGGGUAGUCCUAACUGUAAACGAUGCGGACUUGGUGUUGGGGUGGCUUUGAGCUGCUCCAGUGCCGAAGGGAAGCUGUUAAGUCCGCCGCCUGGGAAGUACGGUCGCAAGACUGAAACUUAA
RNAcentral lists this ribosomal RNA (618 nucleotides) under uncultured archaeon. Its description in RNAcentral is "bacterial SSU rRNA". It matches the Rfam family "Archaeal small subunit ribosomal RNA", at positions 240 to 859 of the family's 1478-position model. The record is from RNAcentral.